GGUAAGGGCGCUUUUAUUAGACCAAGACCACACGCCCGGUUUACCCGGGAGUUAUCCUGACGAAACUAAAUAACAUAUCAGAUCGCAUAGUCUACGCACUGGCGACCUAUCUUUCAAAUGCCUGACUUAUCAACUGACGAUGGUAGACUCCAAGUCUACCAUGGUUCUCACGGGUAACGGGGAAUCUGGGUUCGAUUCCGGAGAGGGAGCCUGAGAAACGGCUACCACAUCCAAGGAAGGCAGCAGGCACGCAAAUUACCCACUCCCGGCACGGGGAGGUAGUGACAAAAAAUAACGAUACGGAACUCGUAAUGAGGCUCCGUAAUCGGAAUGAGUACACUUUAAAUCCUUUAACAAGGAUCCAUUGGAGGGCAAGUCUGGUGCCAGCAGCCGCGGUAAUUCCAGCUCCAAUAGCGUAUAUUAAAGUUGUUGCGGUUAAAAAGCUCGUAGUCGGUUCUGCGUCCCACGCUGCCGGGACACCGUUUGUCGGUGAUUCUGGCAUGCCGUGUGAUGUCCUGUCGGUGGUGACCGGGGCCUUGGUUUCGUCGGGCUUGUUCCGGCGUUCCUUGGCUCUCCGGUCACCGACGCCUAUCCUACCGCGGUGCUCUUAACCGAGUGUCGAGGUAGGCCGACACAUUUACUUUGAACAAAUUAGAGUGCUUAAAGCAGGCUAAAAUAUCUGCCUGAAUAUUUGUGCAUGGAAUAAUGGAACAGGCCCUUGGUUCUAUUCCGUUGGUCUUAGGAACACAAGGACAUGAUCAAUAUGGACGGUCGGGGGCAUUCGUAUUGCGGCCACAGCGAUCCGCCGAUGUUCCUCCGAUGACUCCGGCGGGGAAGCUCCCCCCGGGAAACCAAAGCUUUUGGGUUCCGGGGGUAGUAUGGUUGCAAAGCUGAAACUUAAAGGAAUUGACGGAAGGGCACCACCAGGAGUGGAGCCUGCGGCUUAAUUUGACUCAACACGGGAAACCUCACCAGGUCAGGACAUUGGGAUGAUUGACAGAUUGAUAGCUCUUUCUUGAUUCAGUGGGUAGUGGUGCAUGGCCGUUCUUAGUUGGUGGAUCGAUUUGUCUGGUUAAUUCCGAUAACGAACGAGACUCUGACCUAUUAAAUAGACGUUUCUGGUAUCGUAGCUACCAGCGACAAAUAUUCUUCUUAAGGGGACAGGCGGCUUUUAGCCGCACGAGAUUGAGCAAUAACAGGUCUGUGAUGCCCUUAGAUGUCCUGGGCCGCACGCGCGCUACACUGAAGGAAUCAGCGUGUGCUUUCCCUUGGCCGAAAGGUCCGGGUAACCCGCUGAACCUCCUUCGUGCUAGGAAUUGGGGCUUGAAAUUGUUCCCCAUGAACGAGGAAUUCCCAGUAAGCGCGAGUCAUAAGCUCGCGUUGAUUACGUCCCUGCCCUUUGUACACACCGCCCGUCGCUACUACCGAUUGAAUGAUUUAGUGAGGUCUUCGGACUGGCGGAAAACCCGACCGACUCGUUCGGUUUUGGUCGAACGCUGGAAAGAUG
Molecule: ribosomal RNA, 1507 nt
Filed under: Xylocoris flavipes
Lineage: Eukaryota; Metazoa; Arthropoda; Insecta; Hemiptera; Anthocoridae
Description: SSU rRNA
Rfam family: Eukaryotic small subunit ribosomal RNA
Source: RNAcentral